UGUGACAAUGGGGGUGUAACCAGUGCUGCCAAAUGCAGAGGUUUACAGAGUGGUAUAGAAGAAAUAGUGUGUGCGCAGUUUGUAUGUGGAGUCCGCUGGCGAUUGGGCAGUGUAUUGCCAGGCAACCCUAGGUGUAACGUCGGACCUUGUUGGCUCAUUUGUUUAGGAUUUGAACUGUGGAAAAUAGCUAACUUAAGUAACAAAACAUAAAAUGGAAUGUAGAUAUGUCUGCCACUCAGAUGAAAGAAAAGCUAUACAUAAAAAAAAAAAUUAUGAGCCUUUGAGAAACGUCGUUAGUAGAGUAAUUGAACAGCAGAAUGACAAGAUGGAUAGAUCUGACGUUACAUUGAUAGGAGCAGCAUCGCAGCUUCAAGCGAAGGGGGGAAUACAUUUAUGAUCCAGGUCCAACAGCAGCAACCAGUGAAGUUUUGUAAGUAGGUAUUGUUGUGGCCUAAUAACAAGCAUCUGUUCGUCAACGCAUAUAUUGUUUUGGAAGUAAGGUAUUAAACAUGAAUAUUAUUUGCCUCUAGCUUUUAGUUGGGAAAUCAGGUAGCAAUAUUAGGAUUUUAGCGGUGGAGGGUUGGGUGGGAGUCUCCGCGGCUAACGUUUGCACCCAUGGGAGAGAAAGCUAAGCUCCGCCCCUGCAAAAGGGGGAACCUAAGCUAUUGAAGCUAGGGGUGAGCAUAUUUUUUCAACACAAUGAAACUGCAUUUCUGUUGAUUUUUUAUGAAUAGAUGAUUGCAGAGUAUAAUCUUUCAGUGUCAUUUGUUAAAUUAAAUUUAGUUUAUCUGUAAAUAGAGUUGAAAUGUGUACUUAUUUUUUCACAUGACUGUACAGUACGUUUAAGGUAAGCAGCAACAGCAUAUGGACAAAUAAUAUUUUACCUUGUUAUUUUUCUUUUGCCCUGAAAGAGCACUCCUAAAUUGUGUGAUCUAUGUACAAGGGAAAACAAUUACUUUAAAACAUGUUCCUAGUGGUGAGUAAAAGCAGCGGAUGUUAAAAUCCGCCAGCCUUCUCACUUGGGAAUACUUUCUAGCCUCUCAUGUCUGGCACAUUCACAAAUGUGUCCGGGAAUUGGAGAUGUUCAAUCACACACUCGUGCAAGGAAAGUGAUGGACACAUAAUGUACUGUACAAAGCUCUCCUCCAUCUUUCCCUCUCUCCCCAGGGAAGGUAACACCAGAUCCAAUGCAAUAUUUGAUGUUCCAGGUCCACAGGAGGUUGUGAUAUGCUGAAAAAACUGGCUACUAAGGUCAAUGCGGUUGGGAAAGGCAUGGAGCAAUGUGCAACAACCACGCGGAGAGCGAUAAGCGGGAUUUCCGCUCUGGUCAACUCUAUGCACAUACUCUUGGAGAACGAGGAAAGAAAAAGGUGCAGUGGUCUCUUAAUGUUUUCCGGAGCUGUAUGUAGUGUGAAGACAUAAUAAGCUGGAAAAACAAUUGAAGGCCAUGACUACCCUUAUGAAGCAAUCCCAAACCUCAGCACAGCAAUUGGGAUACCAAGUGAGCAAGCUUUUCAACAUUUCAAAACUUCUGAUUACUUGAAUUACAU
Esox lucius (northern pike) is the source of this 1550-nucleotide long non-coding RNA. RefSeq lists it as uncharacterized. Lineage: Eukaryota; Metazoa; Chordata; Actinopteri; Esociformes; Esocidae. The record is from RefSeq and is a predicted model, not a curated record. The transcript has 3 exons.